GGCGAACGGGUGAGUAACACGUGGGUGAUCUGCCUCGCACUUCGGGAUAAGCCUGGGAAACUGGGUCUAAUACCGGAUAGGACCUUUGGAUGCAUGUCCGAGGGUGGAAAGAUUUAUCGGUGCGAGAUGGGCCCGCGGCCUAUCAGCUUGUUGGUGGGGUAACGGCCCACCAAGGCGACGACGGGUAGCCGACCUGAGAGGGUGACCGGCCACACUGGGACUGAGACACGGCCCAGACUCCUACGGGAGGCAGCAGUGGGGAAUAUUGCACAAUGGGCGAAAGCCUGAUGCAGCGACGCCGCGUGAGGGAUGACGGCCUUCGGGUUGUAAACCUCUUUCGACUCCGACGAAGCGAGAGUGACGGUAGGAGUAGAAGAAGCACCGGCCAACUACGUGCCAGCAGCCGCGGUAAUACGUAGGGUGCGAGCGUUGUCCGGAAUUACUGGGCGUAAAGAGCUUGUAGGCGGUUUGUCGCGUCGUCUGUGAAAACUCACAGCUCAACUGUGAGCUUGCAGGCGAUACGGGCAGACUUGAGUACUUCAGGGGAGACUGGAAUUCCUGGUGUAGCGGUGAAAUGCGCAGAUAUCAGGAGGAACACCGGUGGCGAAGGCGGGUCUCUGGGAAGUAACUGACGCUGAGAAGCGAAAGCGUGGGUAGCGAACAGGAUUAGAUACCCUGGUAGUCCACGCCGUAAACGGUGGGU
Molecule: ribosomal RNA, 703 nt
Filed under: Nocardia sp.
Lineage: Bacteria; Bacillati; Actinomycetota; Actinomycetes; Mycobacteriales; Nocardiaceae
Description: bacterial SSU rRNA
Rfam family: Bacterial small subunit ribosomal RNA
Source: RNAcentral